This is a long non-coding RNA of Homo sapiens (human), 1622 nucleotides long. Lineage: Eukaryota; Metazoa; Chordata; Mammalia; Primates; Hominidae. The record is from Ensembl.
GCUUCCACUCAAUGCCAACAGCAGUGCUGCAAGCAUCUCAGCCUCUAUCCACCGCCAAACAGGUCAUCUGGCACAGACUAUUAAAUGACUAGCACUUCCCGUUCUCAGGGUGAUGUAUCUGCUUCCUGAUGGUGUUGGCUCUGACUAUCUUCCUACUUCCACCCAGUGGCUCCAGCUGUGGCUGCCAAGAAAACCCCAGCUGAUGGAGGAUGAGAGGUGAAAUCAGGACACACAAAGACCUGUUACCAUCAUCUUUCACCUGGAUUCUCCUAAAGCAACAGCUGCUCAUCUCAUCACUCUGAGUUACUAAUCCUUCUUUCUGAGACAAAAGCCCAAAAGGCAAAUGGGAAAUGACUUGUCAGAUGACAUCACCAAUAAUUGAACAUAAAGCAGACUCAAAUUAGGACAAAAUCUUUUGUAUUUACUCAGUUUAUAUCAGUAAUAUGAUUAUCUCAAAGUUCUAACAAAGCAGUCUGCCACAAGGGGUAACAAAAAACAUAGUCACUGAUUUGUCCCAGAGCAUCUCCAGCUGGGACAACUUAUUCUACCAUCUCUGCUCUGCCCAGACGACCACACACAUUGCCUUGCCUAGGGAAAGGGGCAGGGAAAUGAUGCAGGCUUUACUGUUCCAUUGACCCUUGCAGCUAAUCCAAAGGGACAUAAAAAUCUCUCAUUUCAGACUUUUAUGACAUAGCGUAGCCCUCCCUGGAGAUAAGUAGGAACACUGGUCUCCCGUCCCCACUUGCCCUUUGGGAAAGAUCAUCACAUCAGCCAGGCAGAGAACAGCCCCAGCUGACCCAAUGUACUUUCUCUUUAGCCUCUCAACCCUUCUUCCUUUGGUUGUUCAUGACAACCUGAGUUUUCAGGGAAUUUCAAAUUGAUGAUGACAAGCUGUUUGUCCUGUCUCAAUCUGCUGAAGAUGUUUAAAAUAAGGAGCUAUAGUGAACAGAGAGUUGAAAAAAAAAUUCUUUGGGGUGGAUGACACAUUGACCCAAACCAUUCUGAUCACACACAACUCUAAGCUCCUAUUUGGUGGAUGACAUUAAAUGCUGAAAAGGUUUGGAGUGCACAUAUAUUAGCUACUUUUCACAGCCUGUGUACAAAAAGUCCCAUGCCCUACUCUGCCAUACAUGUUGACUGACUAGCUUCAUUAGCAAGGAAGAACAAAAUAGUCAAUGCAAUCUUUUUCUGUGAGUUCAGUGAAGUCCUAGAUCUCCUUUUGGUGUCAAACCAUCACCUUCCAUGAAAGGUUUUUGUGAGGUGGACACAAUUUUCAGAAGGUAGGGUCCAGGUUCUCUGACAUUAGUGUUAACCUACUUGAAAUCUUCCUACUUAAUGGCUAGACACAGUAUUACUUAGGAAUUAAGCUUCAAGCAACAUUCUUAAAGAACAGGUUAUAGAAUUUAUUAUUUGUUAGAAUUUCUUUAUGCAAAAGUGGGAAGUAUCUUUAAAAAUAUUUUAGCCAAACUACAUGUCUUGAAUAACUUUAAUGUUAUCAAUGUGAGCCUGUUUCUAGUAUCCAUCAUGUUACCUAGCCACAAAUGUCACAAAUUAAAGAAAUAUAUCUGACAUUCAUUAUGCUAACCAACUGUCUGGUGUUGAUCCUCGUAUGGAUAGCUGAA